UCGCGAAAACUUCACAAUGGGGGAAACCCCGAUGAGGGAAUUCCAAGUGCCAGCACAUUGUGUUGGCUGUUCUCUGGUCUAAAAAACCGGAGAAGUAAGGGCCGGGUAAGACGGGUGCCAGCCGCCGCGGUAAUACCCGCGGCCCAAGUGGUGGUCGAUAUUAUUGAGCCUAAAACGUCCGUAGCCGGUCUUGUAAAUCCUUGGGUAAAUCGACCAGCUCAACUGUUCGAAGUCCGGGGAGACUGCAAGACUUGGGAUCGGGAGAGGUGAGAGGUACUUCUGGGGUAGGGGUAAAAUCCUGUAAUCCUAGAAGGACCACCGGUGGCGAAGGCGUCUCACUAGAACGAAUCCGACGGUGAGGGACGAAGCCUUGGGGCGCAAACGG
Molecule: ribosomal RNA, 385 nt
Filed under: uncultured bacterium
Lineage: Bacteria
Description: bacterial SSU rRNA
Rfam family: Archaeal small subunit ribosomal RNA
Source: RNAcentral